AAAAAAAAAAAAAAAAAUUAAAGUGCAGACAGAUAGCAUGAGUGAGAGAAGUAGAGAAAAGGAGGAGGAGGAGAGAAAAGAGAAAAAAUUACAAAGAAACUAAAAUUUUAAAAACUUAAAGUGCAGAUUUUGUGCAGAUGGCGUGAGUGAGAGAAGAAGAGAAGAAAAGGAUGGGAGGAGGAGGAGAGAAAAGAAGAAAAAAUAAAAAGAACCAAAAAAUGGAUUGCAGGUGCUGGAUGGACUUGCUGGUAGGUUGCAUAGUUGAAAGGAAAAGAAAUAUAGAAAAGAGUAGAGGAGAGAGAGGAAAG
This 308-nucleotide unclassified non-coding RNA is filed under the name Hevea brasiliensis (rubber tree). Lineage: Eukaryota; Viridiplantae; Streptophyta; Magnoliopsida; Malpighiales; Euphorbiaceae. The record is from RNAcentral.